RNAcentral lists this ribosomal RNA (483 nucleotides) under uncultured Actinomycetales bacterium. RNAcentral's name for it is "partial 16S ribosomal RNA". The record is from RNAcentral. Lineage: Bacteria; Bacillati; Actinomycetota; Actinomycetes; Actinomycetales.
CACGUAGUUAGCCGGCGCUUCUUCUGCAGGUACCGUCACUCUCGCUUCUUCCCUGCUGAAAGAGGUUUACAACCCGAAGGCCGUCAUCCCUCACGCGGCGUCGCUGUAUCAGGCUUUCGCCCAUUGUGCAAUAUUCCCCACUGCUGCCUCCCGUAGGAGUCUGGGCCGUGUCUCAGUCCCAGUGUGGCCGGUCGCCCUCUCAGGCCGGCUACCCGUCGUCGCCUUGGUGAGCCAUUACCUCACCAACUAGCUGAUAGGCCGCGGGCUCAUCCUGCACCGCCGGAGCUUUCCACCACCUUGGAUGCCCCAAGGCAGUGAGUAUCCGGUAUUAGACCCCGUUUCCAGGGCUUGUCCCAGAGUGCAGGGCAGAUUGCCCACAUGUUACUCACCCGUUCGCCACUAAUCCCCGCCCGAAAGCGGUUCAUCGUUCGACUUGCAUGUGUUAAGCACGCCGCCAGCGUGUCUCGUGCACGAGUCAACUAC